AAUUUUGAUCUGAAAUCAGGGAGGAUUACCCGCUGAACUUAA
Molecule: ribosomal RNA, 42 nt
Filed under: Umbelopsis ramanniana
Lineage: Eukaryota; Fungi; Mucoromycota; Umbelopsidomycetes; Umbelopsidales; Umbelopsidaceae
Description: 28S ribosomal RNA
Source: RNAcentral